ACGGGUGAGUAACACGUGGAUAACCUACCUAUAAGACUGGGAUAACUUCGGGAAACCGGAGCUAAUACCGGAUAAUAUAUUGAACAGCAUGGUUCAAUAGUGAAAGACGGUUUUGCUGUCACUUAUAGAUGGAUCCGCGCCGCAUUAGCUAGUUGGUAAGGUAACGGCUUACCAAGGCAACGAUGCGUAGCCGACCUGAGAGGGUGAUCGGCCACACUGGAACUGAGACACGGUCCAG
RNAcentral lists this ribosomal RNA (238 nucleotides) under uncultured Staphylococcus sp. RNAcentral's name for it is "partial 16S ribosomal RNA". It matches the Rfam family "Bacterial small subunit ribosomal RNA", at positions 102 to 334 of the family's 1533-position model. Lineage: Bacteria; Bacillati; Bacillota; Bacilli; Caryophanales; Staphylococcaceae. The record is from RNAcentral.